AGUGAACGCUGGCGGUAGGCCUAACACAUGCAAGUCGAACGGCAGCACAGUAAGAGCUUGCUCUUACGGGUGGCGAGUGGCGGACGGGUGAGGUAUACAUCGGAAUCUACUUUUUCGUGGGGGAUAACGUAGGGAAACUUACGCUAAUACCGCAUACGACCUACGGGUGAAAGCAGGGGAUCUUCGGACCUUGCGCGAUUGAAUGAGCCGAUGUCGGAUUAGCUAGUUGGCGGGGUAAAGGCCCACCAAGGCGACGAUCCGUAGCUGGUCUGAGAGGAUGGUCAGCCACACUGGAAGUGAGACACGGUCCAGACUCCUACGGGAGGCAGCAGUGGGGAAUAUUGGACAAUGGGCGCAAGCCUGAUACAGCCAUACCGCGUGGGGGAAGAAGGCGUUCGGGUUGGAAAGCCCUUUUGUUGGGAAAGAAAAGCAGCAGGUUAAUACCCCGCUGUUCUGACGGUACCCAAAGAAUAAGCACCGGCUAACUUCGUG
Molecule: ribosomal RNA, 492 nt
Filed under: uncultured bacterium
Lineage: Bacteria
Description: partial 16S ribosomal RNA
Rfam family: Bacterial small subunit ribosomal RNA
Source: RNAcentral